UCAAGAAGAAGGAACUUUUUCCCCACCGCCAACACCCAAAGCUGGUAUUCUAAUUAAACUACUUCUUG
RNAcentral lists this transfer RNA (68 nucleotides) under Mus macedonicus spretoides. Its description in RNAcentral is "tRNA-Pro". Lineage: Eukaryota; Metazoa; Chordata; Mammalia; Rodentia; Muridae. The record is from RNAcentral.